This 73-nucleotide transfer RNA is filed under the name Neorautanenia amboensis. RNAcentral's name for it is "tRNA-Glu". The record is from RNAcentral. Lineage: Eukaryota; Viridiplantae; Streptophyta; Magnoliopsida; Fabales; Fabaceae.
UCCAGAUUGAUUAUCGUUUUUUUUAUUUCCCGGCUUAUUAGUAUUAGAUAUAAAUAUACCUAUCGAAUCUUAG